CCUAAAAUAAAAAUUACAAAAGAAACAUAGAAAUGCCUUGGUGACUUUCUGGAUGAGAAGGAGAUGGAAAAAUCAGUGAUGAUGGGUCAAAUGGGGGCCUCAGCCAUGAACCAAGUGAUGGGCGAGAGAAGAAAUCUUUCCUCUCCUACAAAAUAAAGCUCACCCCGCCCCCCAUCCUGUGCCUAUAAAGACCCCAGAUUCAGUUGGUAGAGGGAAAGAAGCGGCUUGACUGGAGAGAGGCGACUUGACUUCAGAGGGAUGGCUGGACUCCGGAAGAGAGAUGGCUGGACUUGCGGGAAUAGCCAGCCAGAAACAGGCAGACUUUGGGGUAAGAUUACCUGCCCGUCCCAUCCCUUCUCCAGCUCCCAUGUCUGCUGAGAGCCAUUUCCAUCGCUUAAUAAAAUUCUCCACCUUCAAUAUCCUUCAA
Molecule: non-coding RNA, 427 nt
Organism: Macaca mulatta (Rhesus monkey)
Lineage: Eukaryota; Metazoa; Chordata; Mammalia; Primates; Cercopithecidae
Source: RefSeq, a predicted model, not a curated record